RNAcentral lists this ribosomal RNA (441 nucleotides) under uncultured bacterium. RNAcentral's name for it is "partial 16S ribosomal RNA". It matches the Rfam family "Bacterial small subunit ribosomal RNA", at positions 338 to 795 of the family's 1533-position model. The record is from RNAcentral.
CCUACGGGAGGCUGCAGUGGGGGAUAUUGGACAAUGGGGUGACCCCUGAUCCAGCGACGCCGCGUGAGUGAAGAAGUAUCUCGGUAUGUAAAGCUCUAUCAGCAGGGAAGCAAAAAUGACGGUACCUGAGUAAGAAGCCCCGGCUAAGUACGGGCCAGCAGCCGCGGUAAUACGUAGGGGGCACGCGUUAUCCGGAAUUACUGGGUGUAAAGGGAGCGUAGACGGUGAUGUAAGUCUGGAGUGAAAGGCGGGGGCCCAACCCCGUACUGCUCUGGAAACUAUGUGACUGGAGUGCAGGAGAGGUGAGAGGAAUGCGUAGUGUAGCGGUGAAAUGCGUAGAUAUUAGGAGGAACACCAGUGGCGAAGGCGGCUCACUGGAGUGUAACUGACGUUGAGGCUCGAAAGCGUGGGGAGCAAACAGGAUUAGAUACCCGGGUAGUC